RNAcentral lists this ribosomal RNA (301 nucleotides) under uncultured fungus. RNAcentral's name for it is "eukaryotic LSU rRNA". The stretch from base 1 to 112 matches the Rfam family "5.8S ribosomal RNA", at positions 42 to 154 of the family's 154-position model. The record is from RNAcentral. Lineage: Eukaryota; Fungi.
AACGCAGCGAAGGGCGAUAGUAAUGUGAAUUGCAGAAUUCAGUGAAUCAUCGAAUCUUUGAACGCACAUUGCACCUUCUGGUAUUCCGGGAGGUAUGCCUGUUCGAGCGUCAUUGCAACCAACAAGCUAUGCUUGGUAUUGGAUGUCACUAUAUUAGGUGCACCCUAAAAUUAGUAGCAGUGCUCCUAGCUUCAAGCGUAGUAAAUUUCUCGCUACUGGAGUCUAGAUGUUGUACACUGUCUGAACCCCUAAAUUAUUAAGGUUUGACCUCGGAUCAGGUAGGGAUACCCGCUGAACUUAA